Long non-coding RNA from Ostrea edulis (European flat oyster), 711 nucleotides. RefSeq lists it as uncharacterized. The record is from RefSeq and is a predicted model, not a curated record. The transcript has 2 exons. NCBI's taxonomy places the organism in Eukaryota, Metazoa, Mollusca, Bivalvia, Ostreida, Ostreidae.
UAAAAUAUAUCAUAUGUAUAUAUAUGAAGUCUUGUACACUGGGUUUCCACUGGUCGAUUGUAUAACUUUUUACUGAUCGUCUUUUGGUUACGUGUUGACCUGGGGACGAGUCAGUCAGUGUACGACCUGACGUUCACGCAAGUGAUCAAAGCGCUUUUUUUUUCAAUGUUCCUUUCUGGGCGCGAAGUCAGGGAAAUAUUCGCAAGGAUGGAGAACAUUCAACAGAAUCAGUAUGCAAUCAAGCAUGGAAUGGAUUCCAGAUAGGAAUAUAGGAUUCACCUUACACUCAGAAACUGGGGGAUAGGCCUAGUUGUUCAAAAUACACGGCGUUGCUGGUUAGUAUUUUUACUUUUGGUUUGUAAUAAUUCGUCUUUUUUGGUAGUCUAGUGGAAUUGUCACACCUUAACAAAUUAUCAUCCUGUUUCCAAUAUUUUUAUCUAGUACAUGUUCUCUUUCAUUGUAGCAUGGACUUGAAGAGAUAGUUAUGAAUUUAGAAUAUCAUCAAGUGACUUUUAAUAAGGCACUGUUUUCAGUGGAUGAACCGACAUCAUGCAGUGUGACAGGAAAACGCCCGUGAGACCAAAGAUGGCUUAGAUAAAAGGGAAGACGAUGCAGAAGCCUCUGUACCAGAGAAAAAUCCAGAGAUGGCCCUCAAAGAAGUUAGAAACAAGAUGAGAGACCGUCUCAAGUUGUUUAGGUCUGGAGCCACCU